GAUUCCUACGGGAGGCAGCAGUAGGGAAUCUUCCACGAUGGACGAAAGUCUGAUGGAGCAACGCCGCGUGAGUGAAGAAGGGUUUCGGCUCGUAAAGCUCUGUUGGUAGUGAAGAAAGAUAGAGGUAGUAACUGGCCUUUAUUUGACGGUAAUUACUUAGAAAGUCACGGCUAACUACGUGCCAGCAGCCGCGGGAAUACGUAGGUGGCAAGCGUUGUCCGGAUUUAUUGGGGGUAAA
Molecule: ribosomal RNA, 238 nt
Filed under: uncultured bacterium
Lineage: Bacteria
Description: partial 16S ribosomal RNA
Rfam family: Bacterial small subunit ribosomal RNA
Source: RNAcentral